GUCGAACGAUGAACCACUUCGGUGGGGAUUAGUGGCGAACGGGUGAGUAACACGUGGGCAAUCUGCCCUGCACUCUGGGACAAGCCCUGGAAACGGGGUCUAAUACCGGAUACUGACCCGCUUGGGCAUCCAAGCGGUUCGAAAGCUCCGGCGGUGCAGGAUGAGCCCGCGGCCUAUCAGCUAGUUGGUGAGGUAAUGGCUCACCAAGGCGACGACGGGUAGCCGGCCUGAGAGGGCGACCGGCCACACUGGGACUGAGACACGGCCCAGACUCCUACGGGAGGCAGCAGUGGGGAAUAUUGCACAAUGGGCGAAAGCCUGAUGCAGCGACGCCGCGUGAGGGAUGACGGCCUUCGGGUUGUAAACCUCUUUCAGCAGGGAAGAAGCGAAAGUGACGGUACCUGCAGAAGAAGCGCCGGCUAACUACGUGCCAGCAGCCGCGGUAAUACGUAGGGCGCAAGCGUUGUCCGGAAUUAUUGGGCGUAAAGAGCUCGUAGGCGGCUUGUCACGUCGGUUGUGAAAGCCCGGGGCUUAACCCCGGGUCUGCAGUCGAUACGGGCAGGCUAGAGUUCGGUAGGGGAGAUCGGAAUUCCUGGUGUAGCGGUGAAAUGCGCAGAUAUCAGGAGGAACACCGGUGGCGAAGGCGGAUCUCUGGGCCGAUACUGACGCUGAGGAGCGAAAGCGUGGGGAGCGAACAGGAUUAGAUACCCUGGUAGUCCACGCCGUAAACGGUGGGCACUAGGUGUGGGCAACAUUCCACGUUGUCCGUGCCGCAGCU
RNAcentral lists this ribosomal RNA (778 nucleotides) under Actinomycetes bacterium. RNAcentral describes it as "bacterial SSU rRNA". It matches the Rfam family "Bacterial small subunit ribosomal RNA", at positions 61 to 853 of the family's 1533-position model. Lineage: Bacteria; Bacillati; Actinomycetota; Actinomycetes. The record is from RNAcentral.